UACGUAGGGUGCAAGCGUUGUCCGGAAUUAUUGGGCGUAAAGAGCUCGUAGGCGGUCUGUCGCGUCUGCUGUGAAAACUCAGGGCUUAACCCUGAGCUUGCAGUGGGUACGGGCAGACUAGAGUGCGGUAGGGGAGACUGGAAUUCCUGGUGUAGCGGUGAAAUGCGCAGAUAUCAGGAGGAAUACCGGUGGCGAAGGCGGCUAUCUGGCCAUGUACUGACGUUGAGACACGAAAGCGUGGGGAGCAAACAGG
RNAcentral lists this ribosomal RNA (253 nucleotides) under uncultured bacterium. Its description in RNAcentral is "partial 16S ribosomal RNA". It matches the Rfam family "Bacterial small subunit ribosomal RNA", at positions 524 to 776 of the family's 1533-position model. The record is from RNAcentral.